AGAGUUUGAUCAUGGCUCAGAUUGAACGCUGGCGGCAUGCCUUACACAUGCAAGUCGAACGGCAGCAUGAUCUAGCUUGCUAGAUUGAUGGCGAGUGGCGAACGGGUGAGUAAUACAUCGGAACGUGCCCUGUAGUGGGGGAUAACUAGUCGAAAGAUUAGCUAAUACCGCAUACGACCUGAGGGUGAAAGUGGGGGACCGCAAGGCCUCAUGCUAUAGGAGCGGCCGAUGUCUGAUUAGCUAGUUGGUGAGGUAAAGGCUCACCAAGGCGACGAUCAGUAGCUGGUCUGAGAGGACGAUCAGCCACACUGGGACUGAGACACGGCCCAGACUCCUACGGGAGGCAGCAGUGGGGAAUUUUGGACAAUGGGCGAAAGCCUGAUCCAGCAAUGCCGCGUGUGUGAAGAAGGCCUUCGGGUUGUAAAGCACUUUUGUCCGGAAAGAAAUGGCUCUGGUUAAUACCUGGGGUCGAUGACGGUACCGGAAGAAUAAGGACCGGCUAACUACGUGCCAGCAGCCGCGGUAAUACGUAGGGUCCAAGCGUUAAUCGGAAUUACUGGGCGUAAAGCGUGCGCAGGCGGUUGUGCAAGACCGAUGUGAAAUCCCCGAGCUUAACUUGGGAAUUGCAUUGGUGACUGCACGGCUAGAGUGUGUCAGAGGGGGGUAGAAUUCCACGUGUAGCAGUGAAAUGCGUAGAGAUGUGGAGGAAUACCGAUGGCGAAGGCAGCCCCCUGGGAUAACACUGACGCUCAUGCACGAAAGCGUGGGGAGCAAACAGGAUUAGAUACCCUGGUAGUCCACGCCCUAAACGAUGUCAACUAGUUGUUGGGGAUUCAUUUCCUUAGUAACGUA
Molecule: ribosomal RNA, 852 nt
Filed under: uncultured bacterium
Lineage: Bacteria
Description: bacterial SSU rRNA
Rfam family: Bacterial small subunit ribosomal RNA
Source: RNAcentral